AGGCUCAGCAAUUGCUGGCCUAAUGUUUGCUUGGGCUAUAUUUCAGCAGUACUUCCCACAUCAAAUUCGGGACCAUUUUAGCAGGUAUGGUCAGAAAUUGCUGGGUCUUGUCUACCCUUAUCUCCAAAUUACCUUCCAUGAAUACACCGGAGAACGUCUCAAGCGCAGCGAGGUUUACUCCGCCAUUCAAAACUACCUCAGCGCCAACUCUUCCACGAAUGCCAAGAAGCUCAAAGCUGAUGUUGUUAAAGAUAACCAUUCUGUGGUUC
This 269-nucleotide unclassified non-coding RNA is filed under the name Hevea brasiliensis (rubber tree). Lineage: Eukaryota; Viridiplantae; Streptophyta; Magnoliopsida; Malpighiales; Euphorbiaceae. The record is from RNAcentral.